GACGAACGCUGGCGGCGUGCCUAAUACAUGCAAGUAGAACGCACAGUUUAUACCGUAGCUUGCUACACCAUAGACUGUGAGUUGCGAACGGGUGAGUAACGCGUAGGUAACCUGCCUGGUAGCGGGGGAUAACUAUUGGAAACGAUAGCUAAUACCGCAUAAUAUUGAUUAUUGCAUGAUAAUUAAUUGAAAGGUGCAAUUGCACCACUACCAGAUGGACCUGCGUUGUAUUAGCUAGUAGGUGAGGUAACGGCUCACCUAGGCGACGAUACAUAGCCGACCUGGGAGGGUGAUCGGCCACACUGGGACUGAGACACGGCCCAGACUCCUACGGGAGGCAGCAGUAGGGAAUCUUCGGCAAUAGACGAAAGUCUGACCGAGCAACGCCGCGUGAGUGAAGAAGGUUUUCGGAUCGUAAAGCUCUGUUGUAAGAGAAGAACGGGUGUGAGAGUGGAAAGUUCACACUGUGACGGUAUCUUACCAGAAAGGGACGGCUAACUACGUG
Molecule: ribosomal RNA, 505 nt
Filed under: uncultured bacterium
Lineage: Bacteria
Description: partial 16S ribosomal RNA
Rfam family: Bacterial small subunit ribosomal RNA
Source: RNAcentral